GACGAACGCUGGCGGCGUGCUUAACACAUGCAAGUCGAACGGAAAGGCCCUGCUUUUGUGGGGUGCUCGAGUGGCGAACGGGUGAGUAACACGUGAGUAACCUGCCCUUGACUUUGGGAUAACUUCAGGAAACUGGGGCUAAUACCGGAUAGGAGCUCCUGCUGCAUGGUGGGGGUUGGAAAGUUUCGGCGGUUGGGGAUGGACUCGCGGCUUAUCAGCUUGUUGGUGGGGUAGUGGCUUACCAAGGCUUUGAAGGGUAGCCGGCCUGAGAGGGUGACCGGCCACAUUGGGACUGAGAUACGGCCCAGACUCCUACGGGAGGCAGCAGUGGGGAAUAUUGCACAAUGGGCGGAAGCCUGAUGCAGCAACGCCGCGUGCGGGAUGACGGCCUUCGGGUUGUAAACCGCUUUCGCCUGUGACGAAGCGUGAGUGACGGUAAUGGGUAAAGAAGCACCGGCUAACUACGUGCCAGCAGCCGCGGUGAUACGUAGGGUGCGAGCGUUGUCCGGAUUUAUUGGGCGUAAAGGGCUCGUAGGUGGUUGAUCGCGUCGGAAGUGUAAUCUUGGGGCUUAACCCUGAGCGUGCUUUCGAUACGGGUUGACUUGAGGAAGGUAGGGGAGAAUGGAAUUCCUGGUGGAGCGGUGGAAUGCGCAGAUAUCAGGAGGAACACCAGUGGCGAAGGCGGUUCUCUGGGCCUUUCCUGACGCUGAGGAGCGAAAGCGUGGGGAGCGAACAGGCUUAGAUACCCUGGUAGUCCACGCUGUAAACGGUGGGUACUAGGUGUGGGGUCCAUUCCACGGGUUCCGUGCCGUAGCUAACGCUUUAAGUACCCCGCCUGGGGAGUACGGCCGCAAGGCUAAAACUCAAAGGAAUUGACGGGGCCCCGCACAAGCGGCGGAGCAUGCGGAUUAAUUCGAUGCAACGCGUAGAACCUUACCUGGGUUUGACAUGGAUCGGGAGUGCUCAGAGAUGGGUGUGCCUCUUUUGGGGUCGGUUCACAGGUGGUGCAUGGCUGUCGUCAGCUCGUGUCGUGAGAUGUUGGGUUAAGUCCCGCAACGAGCGCAACCCUUGUUCACUGUUGCCAGCACGUUAUGGUGGGGACUCAGUGGAGACCGCCGGGGUCAACUCGGAGGAAGGUGGGGAUGACGUCAAGUCAUCAUGCCCCUUAUGUCCAGGGCUUCACGCAUGCUACAAUGGCUGGUACAGAGAGUGGCGAGCCUGUGAGGGUGAGCGAAUCUCGGAAAGCCGGUCUCAGUUCGGAUUGGGGUCUGCAACUCGACCUCGUGAAGUCGGAGUCGCUAGUAAUCGCAGAUCAGCAACGCUGCGGUGAAUACGUUCCCGGGGCU
Molecule: ribosomal RNA, 1346 nt
Filed under: uncultured bacterium
Lineage: Bacteria
Description: partial 16S ribosomal RNA
Rfam family: Bacterial small subunit ribosomal RNA
Source: RNAcentral